RNAcentral lists this ribosomal RNA (1453 nucleotides) under human gut metagenome. RNAcentral describes it as "bacterial LSU rRNA". It matches the Rfam family "Bacterial large subunit ribosomal RNA", at positions 1082 to 2421 of the family's 2925-position model. The record is from RNAcentral.
CGCAUAGACAGCCAGGAGGUUGGCUCAGAAGCAGCCACCCUUGAAAGAGUGCGUAACAGCUCACUGGUCUAGUGGUUCCGCGCCGACAAUGUAGCGGGGCUCAAGCACACCACCGAAGACGCGGCAGUAGCUUUGCUACUGGGUAGGAGAGCGUCCCAUGCGGGGCGAAGCGGCGGCGCAAGCCCGCCGUGGACUGCAUGGGAGUGAGAAUGCAGACAUGAGUAGCGAAAGACGGGUGAAGAUCCCGUCCGCUGGACGACCAAGGGUUCCAGGGCCACGUUCAUCGUCCCUGGGUGAGUCGGGUCCUAAGGCGAGGCCGACAGGCGUAGUCGAAUGGAUGAACGGGUCGAUAUUCCCGUACCGGCAUGCAACCGACAAAACCGAAUCCGCGAGUACUAACCUCCGGGUCCGGGCUUACGUCUCCUUCGGGAGCCGGAUGCCCUGGCCUGUUGGGACCGUAACGGUAGUAGGUCAGCGCGGGAGUGACGCAGAAGGGUAGCCGGCCGCGGAGGUGGUCUUCCGUGGUCAAGCACGCAGCCCGUCCCACAGGCAAAUCCGUGGGGCGCGUGGGCGAGGUGCGAUGAUGGGCGCCGCAGGGCGCGAUAUCCGGUGAUCCCGGCUGCCGAGAAAAGCUUCGGCGUGAGGCGGCGUGCCGCCCGUACCCCAAACCGACACUGGUGGUCAGGUAGAGAAUACCAAAGCGAUCGAGCGAAUCCUGGUCAAGGAACUCGGCAAAUCACUCCCGUUCCUUCGGUUUAAGGGAGACCCCCGAUGGUGAAGCGGCUUGCCCGUGGAGCUUUUGGGGGUGGCACAGACCAGGGGGUAGCGACUGUUUACCAAAAACACAGGAGCGUGCGAAGGCGCAAGCCGCUGUAUACGCUCUGACGCCUGCCCGGUGCCGGAAGGUUAAGAGGAUCCGUCAGGCUUCGGCCGAAGCGGUGAAUUCAAGCCCCGGUAAACGGCGGUGGUAACUAUAACCAUCCUAAGGUAGCGAAAUUCCUUGUCGGGUAAGUUCCGACCUGCACGAAUGGCGUAACGACUUCCCCACUGUCUCGACCAGGAGCUCGGCGAAAUUGCAGUACGAGUAAAGAUGCUCGUUAAGCGCAGAAGGACGAAAAGACCCCGGGACCUUUACUAUACCUUGGUAUUGGCAUUCGGUGUGGAUUGUGUAGCAUAGGCGGAAGGCUUCGAAGCCACGGCGCCAGCCGCGGUGGAGCCGCAAGGUGAAAUACCGCUCUGUUCGCAUUGGAUGUCUAACCUCGACCAGUCAUCCUGGUCAGGGACAGUGCCUGGCGGGUAGUUUAACUGGGGCGGUUGCCUCCCAAAGAGUAACGGAGGCGCUCAAAGGUUCCCUCAGCCCGGUUGGCAAUCGGGUGGCGAGUGUAAGUGCACAAGGGAGCUUGACUGCGAGACUGACGGGUCGAGCAGGGACGAAAGUCGGAACUAGUGAUCC